This 173-nucleotide small RNA is filed under the name Chrysemys picta bellii (western painted turtle). Its description in RNAcentral is "TUC338 (ENSCPBG00000005491.1)". The record is from RNAcentral. Lineage: Eukaryota; Metazoa; Chordata; Testudines; Emydidae.
UUGACAGCUCUGGGGCCUGAAGCUCUCAAUUUAUCCACAGAACAGGUAUGGCACUGGCUUUUGGAAUCGAAAGUUCCCCACAAUCCUGUCAUUGUGCUUUAAGCCUGAAGCAGACAGACCAUUUUUAGGUACAGAAUAGUUCAAUCUCCAUUCCUAUUCAGUCCUUGGCCUCU